GCAGAAACCGAGUUUCACUGUGUCUGGAGGAACAAGGAAUGCAAAGAUUCUAGGGAUACAAUGGUGAACAGGUGAAUGGAAUGGUGAAGUCAAGUCCUGGAGAUGACUGGUGGUAACACUAUAUCUUCAAUGCUUCACUGCCGAAGGGAAUUCAGAC
Molecule: long non-coding RNA, 157 nt
Filed under: Rhinopithecus bieti (black snub-nosed monkey)
Lineage: Eukaryota; Metazoa; Chordata; Mammalia; Primates; Cercopithecidae
Description: lncRNA (ENSRBIG00000046135.1)
Source: RNAcentral